Marasmius sp. AFHP31 is the source of this 98-nucleotide non-coding RNA. The record is from the annotation of a GenBank genome assembly. Lineage: Eukaryota; Fungi; Basidiomycota; Agaricomycetes; Agaricales; Marasmiaceae.
GCAUUAAUGGGGUAGUGGUAACCUGGGUCGUUGCCAUCCGGACGUUGAGCUUUGGCCUAUGUCUCGACCCGCCGGGGGUUCGAUUCCCUCUUAAUGCA